AGCCUGUUCAGAAACACAGCCCAGAUUGUUGUGACAUUAUCUCACUUCUUGAGAUAAUCAAGAGGUGGCAGUCAUGCUUGCCUCUGAGAUGUUAAUGAUCAAAGCGCUCCAGGAACCUCUUAAAGGAUCGACCGCUAUUCUCUUCACAGUUUUUCAACUAUAAAAGUGAGAUACUCUUUGCAGCUUAUUUAAAUGGUGUAGAAGUGCAUAAUGUCAAAAAAAAAAAAGGGCUCCUCUAGCUUUUCUAAUCCUGUGCAUUAAAAUUAAGUUCAACAUG
Molecule: long non-coding RNA, 277 nt
Organism: Erinaceus europaeus (western European hedgehog)
Lineage: Eukaryota; Metazoa; Chordata; Mammalia; Eulipotyphla; Erinaceidae
Exons: 2
Source: RefSeq, a predicted model, not a curated record